UGGGAAACUGGAAGACUUGGCCUGCUGUG
RNAcentral lists this non-coding RNA (29 nucleotides) under Mus musculus (house mouse). Lineage: Eukaryota; Metazoa; Chordata; Mammalia; Rodentia; Muridae. The record is from RNAcentral.